This is a long non-coding RNA of Frieseomelitta varia, 1792 nucleotides long. RefSeq lists it as uncharacterized. NCBI's taxonomy places the organism in Eukaryota, Metazoa, Arthropoda, Insecta, Hymenoptera, Apidae. The transcript is spliced from 2 exons. The record is from RefSeq and is a predicted model, not a curated record.
CUCUGCGAACCCAGGGAGUAACCCCCCACCUCUUCGUGAGUUUUCGUUUAGUGGCGAAAGUUUCGAGUAAUAUGCCAUGAUCCCGCGAUUGGAUAUGGCUCAUUAAAAGUUCGCUUUAAGCAAGGCGCGUGUCAUAAACGGAAUUUAUAGUAGUACCGAGACACUCUGAUACUUCUCUGACCAAAUGGCUUAUUCGAAAGCUUUAAUUUCCACUCGCGCGACGAGUCUACGCGCAAACGACGUGUGACCGCGCCAAGAAAUAACACUGUGUUAACAUUAUAUUUUUAUAUCGGGCUAAACUACUAAAGCAUACAUCCGGAACUUUCCGAUGUUAUCAACGUGAUUUCAAAAAUACAUUCACGAAGUUUCAAAACUUGAUCUUUGUCCGUAUAAUCGAUACACUAUAUCGGUGCGACCCAUGAAACAGCGAAACUUCAAUAUCCAUAACGUAACAAGCAUAAUUAUGUAACUACAAAAUAUUUGUUACAGACAGACUCUAUCUCGAUUGAAACUGAGCAAAGUGCUACUCUUCAGAUUGUUUUGCACUGAUACCCUGCUAGUGACGUUGAUGUAGUUGCAAGUAAUUAUGCCUCGCACAGAUAACUGUUAAAACUUGCUUUAAGAACACACUACGCUUAUACCCCGGCCAUGUAGCGUAGAACUAUUAAAGGGAGUAAGUAUAUUUACAUGUAAGUGACUUUAACUCAAUAUCUCUCGUCCUACGCCAGGUUCCACUAAAACUUCGGGCCGAAACUAAGCAAGCUGAGUAGCUGAACCUGCUGUUUAAUUGCCGAAUUUUAGCAAAUAAAUGCCGAUCAACUCUUAAAAAUUUGUCUAUAAAAUUUGCCUUUUGUCGGUGGAUGAUCCAAAACUCCAGCUACAUACAUAUAUAACAAGUAGAUCGAAACGUAAGGAAAAUUUCAAAUUCUCUGUACUACUCACGAGGGCAAAGGCACCGUUUUCGAUUUGACUUCUAAGUAGGCAGGGAGAAGAAAAACUGGCGUUUCCGUAUAUUUGGUAAAUACAGAAAUAGAGGGAAAGUUUCUUGCAACGAAAAUAUAACUUCCAGCGCACAUUUACCUGACGUUAUCCAAUCCAAACCCUCCCGCAUUGGCGUAACGCUGCUAAUCGUAAUUCUAUUCAAGCACCACAGCGUCAUCCCCAUAUAACCCCAUCGAUUCUCAAUUAUCCAGCAGCGAGGGAAAGAGGAAGCCGGAAAGAGGAAGGAAUGGAAAAGGAGAAGAGAGGGAAAGCGAGGCAGCUGCCGAGUUAACGCCCAGUUUCGUGUUAUCCAGCUUUGCCUACGUGUUGCGAAGAAGUGGGAUAAAAGGGUGCGCUGUUCGAAAACGAAUAUUGAAACUAGGCUAAUGAUUUCUCCCUCUAAUUGUCCUUAAACGUUUAUCAUAUCCGAGAAUAAACGGAAGGACGAAAGAAUCGUGAAAACAAUGGGGGCUAUUAUUGCACACGAUGUGAAAUGAUUCUCAAAUUCUCUCAAGCAAUAUGCGUGGUCUUAUGUGAUAAUACGAACAACUGUUAUCACGGGAAGAAUCGAUAAUGAACCGAUAAUACAGCUGGCAAAAUGAUUCCCAAGCGAUGCACGGUGUUACGUGAUAACAGUGCGAGCAAUUGCAAUUAUGAAAAGAGAUACAUACGUCGAAAGAGACGAAUACAACAAUCCAACCAUCGAUUCGGUCAAACGCAUUGAAACCCUGAUAAAAUAAUGACGUUUACAAGAUAUUUUUGACGUGUAAUAUUAAUUGAAGCUCAAUAAAAAAUAACGUUUUAAUCUCAA